AGGUGCAACAAAGCUAACUGGAGAGUCAGCACACACUCAUGCAGCCCUGAGGAGAGCUCUGAUCAGCCAAAUGCACCAGUUGUUGGAAACAUGGCUGUGGCAGUUUGCUGGUUAACAUGAGCAACCGCUGCUGGUAAGACGAGACAAGUCACUGGAGUAGAGUGCCGCCACUGCCGCCGGUUACCUUGGAGAUGAGCUCGUCAUGG
Long non-coding RNA from Lates calcarifer (barramundi perch), 206 nucleotides. RefSeq lists it as uncharacterized. Lineage: Eukaryota; Metazoa; Chordata; Actinopteri; Centropomidae. The record is from RefSeq and is a predicted model, not a curated record. The transcript is spliced from 3 exons.